Molecule: long non-coding RNA, 258 nt
Organism: Abrus precatorius (Indian licorice)
Lineage: Eukaryota; Viridiplantae; Streptophyta; Magnoliopsida; Fabales; Fabaceae
Exons: 3
Source: RefSeq, a predicted model, not a curated record
GUGAAGUCAGUGACUCCUGAUAAAAUUUCUUUAAGCAUUGCGGACCUUGAAAGUGAACCUGGUCUAUUUCUAUCAAAUAAAGAGAGAGUAUUUUUGGAGGCUGAUAUGAUGGCAAAGAAAUACAGGGAAAAGCUACCUCCUCCUCUUAUUACUCAACUACCCCAACCCCUCCCAAACAACACCAUGCCUUUUGAAAAUGAAGCACUUUAUGCUAACUGGAAGUGGUUCAACUUUGAGAAAUAAUGAAGAAACAGAUUA